RNAcentral lists this ribosomal RNA (1230 nucleotides) under Triticum aestivum (bread wheat). Its description in RNAcentral is "partial small subunit ribosomal RNA". The record is from RNAcentral. Lineage: Eukaryota; Viridiplantae; Streptophyta; Magnoliopsida; Poales; Poaceae.
AUGUCCAGCCCAUUGUGUGCGACAAUGGCACCGGAAUGGUCAAGGUCAGUUACCCUGUCAUGGUGUCAAUCCCAAAUUCAGUUAGCAUGUUGUUUGCCUGUUGUUACAUUUCAGCGCGAACUGAUCAUCCAUCCAUCCAUUCGUGCCAAACUGCAGGCGGGGUUCGCCGGCGACGACGCGCCGAGGGCCGUGUUCCCCAGCAUCGUGGGCAGGCCGCGGCACACGGGGGUGAUGGUGGGGAUGGGCCAGAAGGACGCGUACGUGGGCGACGAGGCGCAGUCCAAGCGAGGCAUCCUGACGCUCAAGUACCCGAUCGAGCACGGCGUGGUGGGCAACUGGGACGACAUGGAGAAGAUCUGGCACCACACCUUCUACAACGAGCUCCGGGUGGCGCCGGAGGAGCACCCGGUGCUGCUCACGGAGGCGCCCAUGAACCCCAAGGCCAACCGGGAGAAGAUGACUCAGAUCAUGUUCGAGACCUUCAACUGCCCCGCCAUGUACGUGGCCAUCCAGGCCGUGCUCUCCCUCUACGCCAGCGGCCGGACCACCGGCAUCGUCAUGGACUCGGGCGACGGCGUCAGCCACACCGUCCCCAUCUACGAGGGCUUCACGCUCCCGCACGCCAUCAUCCGGCUCGACCUCGCCGGCCGCGACCUCACCGACGGCCUCAUGAAGAUCAUGACGGAGAGGGGCUACUCCUUCACCACCACCGCCGAGCGGGAAAUCGUCAGGGACAUCAAGGAGAAGCUCGCCUACGUCGCCCUCGACUACGAGCAGGAGCUGGAGACGGCCAGGACCAGCUCCGCCGUCGAGAAGAACUACGAGCUGCCGGACGGCCAGGUGAUCACCAUCGGGGCGGAGCGGUUCAGGUGCCCCGAGGUGCUCUUCCAGCCGUCCAUGAUCGGCAUGGAGGCCGCCGGCAUCCACGAGGCCACGUACAACUCCAUCAUGAAGUGCGAUGUCGAUAUCAGGAAGGAUCUGUACGGCAAUGUUGUGCUCAGUGGGGGUUCCACCAUGUUCCCUGGGAUCGCCGACCGCAUGAACAAGGAGAUCACCGCGCUCGCGCCCAGCAGCAUGAGGGUGAAGGUCGUCGCCCCGCCGGAGAGGAAGUACAGUGUCUGGAUCGGCGGCUCCAUUCUUGCCUCUCUCAGUACCUUCCAGCAGAUGUGGAUCUCCAAGGCGGAGUACGAUGAAGCUGGCCCGUCGAUCGUCCACAUGAAGUGCUUCUGA